AGUGAACGCUGGCGGUAGGCCUAACACAUGCAAGUCGAACGGCAGCACAGUAAGAGCUUGCUCUUACGGGUGGCGAGUGGCGGACGGGUGAGGAAUACAUCGGAAUCUACUUUUUCGGGGGGGAUAACGUAGGGAAACUUACGCUAAUACCGCAUACGACCUACGGGUGAAAGCAGGGGAUCGUCGGACCUUGCGCGAUUGAAUGAGCCGAUGUCGGAUUAGCUAGUUGGCGGGGUAAAGGCCCACCAAGGCGACGAUCCGUAGCCGGUCUGAGAGGAGGAUCAGCCACACUGGAACUGAGACACGGACCAGACUCCUACGGGAGGCAGCAGUGGGGAAUAUUGGACAACGGGCGCAAGCCUGAUCCAGCCAGACCGCGUGGGUGAAGAAGGCCUUCGGGUUGGAAAGCCCUUUUGUUGGGAAAGAAAAGCAGCAGGUUAAGACCCCGCUGUUCUGACGGUACCCAAAGAAUAAGCACCGGCUAACUUCGUG
This 492-nucleotide ribosomal RNA is filed under the name uncultured bacterium. RNAcentral's name for it is "partial 16S ribosomal RNA". It matches the Rfam family "Bacterial small subunit ribosomal RNA", at positions 29 to 507 of the family's 1533-position model. The record is from RNAcentral.